UGGGGAAUUUUGCACAAUGGGGGGAACCCUGAUGCAGCGACGCCGCGUGAGCGAAGAAGGAAUUCGUUUCGUAAAGCUCUGUCCUAUGGAAAGAUAAUGACGGUACCAUAGGAGGAAGUCCCGGCUAACUACGUGCCAGCAGCCGCGGUAAUACGUAGGGGGCGAGCGUUGUCCGGAAUUAUUGGGCGUAAAGGGUACGCAGGCAGUCUAAGAAGUCAGAUGUUAAAGCGUAGGGCUUAACCCUAUAAAGCAUAUGAAACUGAUAGACUUGAGUAAAGGAGAGGAAAGUGGAAUUCCUGGUGUAGCGGUGAAAUGCGUAGAUAUCAGGAGGAAUACCGGUGGCGAAGGCGACUUUCUGGACUUUAACUGACGCUGAGGUACGAAAGCGCGGGGAGCAAACAGGAUUAGAUACCCUGGUAGUCCGCGCCGUAAACGAUGAAUGCUAGGUAUUGGGAGUCAAAUCUCAGUGCCGAAGUAAACACAUUAAGCAUUCCGCCUGGGGAGUACGGUGGCAACACUG
RNAcentral lists this ribosomal RNA (520 nucleotides) under uncultured bacterium. Its description in RNAcentral is "bacterial SSU rRNA". It matches the Rfam family "Bacterial small subunit ribosomal RNA", at positions 355 to 896 of the family's 1533-position model. The record is from RNAcentral.